UCGGGGGCAUCGUGAAGCAGCUGACUGUGGGCCUUUGGUUUGGGUGGCAUGUGCAGCUGCAGUGUCUGGUAUAGCGUGGUGCAGUCCUUGGCGCCUUCGCAUCGCGCUGCCUGCUUUUGUGCGAUGUUGACGAUGUGGCUGUUUCAUUAGAGAUUGACAGACGAAGUGCCUGCGUUUACUUUUUAGUGCUAAAAUAAGGUACGUGCUAAUUUGAGAUUUGUCGACAUGUCAGCAUCACAAGUAGUGCCCGAAUACGAUGUCAAAUUCAUUACGACGAACUCGUUGGAGACACAGGGAGAACGAAACGUCCAAGACGACAGUUCCACUUCGUCCAUGUCCAAUGGAGCCAAAGGUAAACGGGGAUCGCACGGUUCCUCCUGGGUCUCUGCUGUUUUUCUAAUCAUCAAUGCUGCUCUUGGGGCUGGCUUACUGAAUUUCCCACAUGCCUUUGACCAAGCUGGUGGCAUAGCAGUGGCUCUUUCUGUGCAGGCAGUGCUGCUUCUGUUUGUGGUGGGAGCCCUGCUUGUGCUGGCCUACUGUGCCAGGCGGCAGGAGUGUUCCACUUACCAAGAAGUGGUGCUGCGUGUGUGUGGGCCACGUUUCUGGAGCUGCUGCUCACUAGCAGUGGCACUCUACUGCUACGGGACCUGCAUCACCUUUCUAGUCAUCAUAGGGGACUUCUCAGAUCGCAUUUUUGCAUCUCUCUACGGGCCAAGCUACUGCAUCCACUGGUUUAUGCACAGGGACUUUGUUAUUGUCACCGCAUCUAUUGUUCUCAUCCUCCCGAUGUGCUUUUCACGGAAGAUUGAUUUUCUCAAAUACCCCAGUAUAUUUGGUGUGCUUGCUGCCCUUUAUUUGGUUCUACUGAUCGUGGUGCAGUACUUUGUUGGGAACUCGAAGUCAUCUGGUACCAGAUCCUCUCCCAGCUCUCUGGAAGAUGUUUUGACUGCUGUUCCAGUAGUAUGCUUUGGCUAUCAGUGCCAUGUGAGUUCGGUCCCUAUCUACUCGUGCCUUGAGGACCGGCGGCUGUCUACAUUCGCCAAGGCAGUGCUCAGUGCCACCCUUUUGACAGCCUCGCUGUACACGGUAGCAGGGGUGUUUGGCUACCUGACAUUUGGCCAGGGGGUUGCUAGCGAUAUACUAGAGCUCUAUGAUGCCCGUCAGCCACUAGUAUUGGUGGGAAUCCUGGCCAUGGCACUCAAGAUCAUCACUACAUACCCCAUCCUUAUCUUCUGUGGCAGGACAGCAGUGGAUGAUCUCUACGGACAGUUGCGGAGCCUUGAUGAGGAUGGUAAACGCAAUAGUGAGCUGCUUCGACGGAUAACAAUUGUGUCAAUCUGGUUUUGCACCACGGUUGUCCUGGCCUGCCUUGUACCAAACAUCAGCAUUGUCAUCCGUAUCAUUGGCUCCCUUGCUGCUACCUUCAUUUUUGUCUUUCCCGGUUUGUGCCUGUUGUUUGUCUCCAUCAAACUGGACAGGUCGUACUAUUUUGCCAAGACUAAGUGGAAACUGGCAACAGCAGUGCUGUGCGUGGCACUGGGCAUGUUUGUCUUUGGCCAAGUACUCACCAUGUCUAUAAUGGACGCUGCUUCAGGUCAUGGGCAGGCUGCGGACGUUCAGCUCUGUACAGUGCCAAAGAUGGUUCGCCUGUAUUCUUACUUCUAGUAGAAGGUCCAGUUUGAGUGACAGGGAAUUUAACCACAGGUUUUACAACUCAUGCUGUGGGUACUUAAAAAGUGCAACGGAAAGUCAUGGAUGAAGAACUCAUGCUGCUCCUUUGUUGUAUUACUUUGUUUUGUGGUUCUUGUAUAAUGUAGCCACUUGGGCUAAUGUCAGGCCUUAGGUAAUGCUCUGAAGUAAAAGAAGCACAAUGGAAUUUCAUUGUAUACGUAUACUCUGUUAGGGGCAUCAUGAAUGCGUGAGCUAGUCUGUGUAUGUUCACAUCUUUCAAAGUAUAUGGCUACUUUGACUGUGUGAGAGCCUCCGUGAUAUUGUUUUAAGUGAUGCCUAUUUACUCAUAUUACGUGAUAUACUGUAUCUAGUAUAAUGUAUUUGCUCAUCUGUCAUUGGCAGGCCCUAGGCAGAUUUUAUUUCUUAGAUUUUACCAAAUGACAGUCUUCAGUGAUGUUGAUAUUUAGCAUGUGCUAAAAAAAAAAAAAGAAAAAAAUUGUGUGGUUGCAUUAAAGCGGUGUCUAGUGCUUGGAUCAUUGGCGCUAGCCCAGGUGACUGGAAUACUACUACCACAGGUGUGCCCAAGGAUCUGCGUCGGUGUAUGCCAAGCCUUUUCACGGUACCCAUCCCCUUCCAUAUUCCCAUCUGUACCUUCUCAGCAGCGUCGUGUUUGCUUCAUGCAUACCAGCUAGUUGCAAAGCCUUGAAAUGUCCUAGACAGCCACUGAACUUGUUCAAGCAUGAAGGAAAGCAAAGCAUAUUUAACUAUUUUGCACUCUUGAAAUUCAUCAAGGAGUGUGAUACUGUUUUAAUGUACUUGUCUUUCACUGUUAUUUUUGUGCUCUGUGGGACACCAGACAUUGAUAAAUUGAUAGGGUUUAUUAACAUCCCAAAGGGCAACACUGGGUCUAUAAAGGGCACUGUAGGCGCGAACCAUUGGAUUAAAUUUUCCAUCUGUUCUUAAUAUGCACCCAGAGCUCAGUAUGCAAGUGUUUUUGCAUUACGCCCCCAUAAAAUUCUUGCACCGCGGCUGAGAGAGCAUCAGAUGUUAUAAGGAAACCUAGCAACCCCCACAUGGCAAGCCAUAAGUUGGUUACACACUUAUGACUACUACUAGUACUGCACUGCAACCAAGGUAAUAGGUCAGUUUGUCAUGUGUUCAGCUUCCACAUAUGUUGUGCGUAAAAAAGGAAUUGUGUUGCAAGUUUUGGCAAGCUGGCAUUUCAUGUCCGAUAACACUUGCUGGGUGGGGGUGCAUGUACAUAUACUGAGUCUUACAUUUAGCAGGCAACACUGUUCAUGCUUGCAGGUUUCAUGGUAAAGUGUUUUAGGUCCGCAAUGCUUCUGUGGUAAUGACUUCACAUGUUAAGAUCAACAUAUGGUGUUGCUGUCACAAAAAGUCGUACAGCUUUCUUUUGUUAUUAUUAUGCAGCUUGUGAUAUGUAGCAUGCAAUGGUUUGGUCACAGGUGCAAGCAAUGUGCUGUGGAAGGUGUGCAAGCAUGUAGCUCAGCAGGGAAAAAGAAAAAGAAAAUGUACAACUCGGAUGAAUUCAGUCGU
This 3228-nucleotide unclassified non-coding RNA is filed under the name Dermacentor andersoni. RNAcentral describes it as "putative sodium-coupled neutral amino acid transporter 7". The record is from RNAcentral. Lineage: Eukaryota; Metazoa; Arthropoda; Arachnida; Ixodida; Ixodidae.